RNAcentral lists this ribosomal RNA (605 nucleotides) under Arthrobacter sp. TN152B. RNAcentral describes it as "bacterial SSU rRNA". It matches the Rfam family "Bacterial small subunit ribosomal RNA", at positions 60 to 680 of the family's 1533-position model. Lineage: Bacteria; Bacillati; Actinomycetota; Actinomycetes; Micrococcales; Micrococcaceae. The record is from RNAcentral.
AGUCGAACGAUGAUGCCAGCUUGCUGGUGGAUUAGUGGCGAACGGGUGAGUAACACGUGAGUAACCUGCCCUUGACUCUGGGAUAAGCCUGGGAAACUGGGUCUAAUACCGGAUAUGACCUUCCAUCGCAUGGUGGUUGGUGGAAAGCUUUUGUGGUUUUGGAUGGACUCGCGGCCUAUCAGCUUGUUGGUGGGGUAAUGGUCUACCAAGGCGACGACGGGUAGCCGGCCUGAGAGGGUGACCGGCCACACUGGGACUGAGACACGGCCCAGACUCCUACGGGAGGCAGCAGUGGGGAAUAUUGCACAAUGGGCGCAAGCCUGAUGCAGCGACGCCGCGUGAGGGAUGACGGCCUUCGGGUUGUAAACCUCUUUCAGUAGGGAAGAAGCGUAAGUGACGGUACCUGCAGAAGAAGCGCCGGCUAACUACGUGCCAGCAGCCGCGGUAAUACGUAGGGCGCAAGCGUUAUCCGGAAUUAUUGGGCGUAAAGAGCUCGUAGGCGGUUUGUCGCGUCUGCCGUGAAAGUCCGGGGCUCAACUCCGGAUCUGCGGUGGGUACGGGCAGACUAGAGUGAUGUAGGGGAGACUGGAAUUCCUGGUGUAGCG